RNAcentral lists this unclassified non-coding RNA (23 nucleotides) under Mus musculus (house mouse). RNAcentral's name for it is "oocyte_clustered_small_RNA1284". The record is from RNAcentral. Lineage: Eukaryota; Metazoa; Chordata; Mammalia; Rodentia; Muridae.
GAUGCCUGCUGCCGAUGCUCAGA